This 491-nucleotide ribosomal RNA is filed under the name uncultured bacterium. RNAcentral's name for it is "bacterial SSU rRNA". It matches the Rfam family "Bacterial small subunit ribosomal RNA", at positions 126 to 654 of the family's 1533-position model. The record is from RNAcentral.
AUGCCCUUCACUGCGGAAUAGCCUUUGGAAACGAAGAGUAAUACCGCAUACGCCCUUUGGGGAAAGAUUUAUCGGUGAAGGAUUAGCCCGCGUUAGAUUAGCUAGUUGGUGGGGUAACGGCCUACCAAGGCUACGAUCUAUAGCUGGUUUGAGAGGAUGAUCAGCCACACUGGGACUGAGACACGGCCCAGACUCCUACGGGAGGCAGCAGUAGGGAAUCUUAGACAAUGGGGGCAACCCUGAUCUAGCCAUGCCGCGUGUGUGAUGAAGGCCUUAGGGUUGUAAAGCACUUUCGCCAGGGAUGAUAAUGACAGUACCUGGUAAAGAAACCCCGGCUAACUCCGUGCCAGCAGCCGCGGUAAUACGGAGGGGGUUAGCGUUGUUCGGAAUUACUGGGCGUAAAGCGCGCGUAGGGGACCAGAAAGUUGGGGGUGAAAUCCCGGGGCCCAACCCCGAACUGCCUCCAAAACUCCUGGUCUAGAGUUCGAGAG